RNAcentral lists this ribosomal RNA (253 nucleotides) under uncultured bacterium. RNAcentral's name for it is "partial 16S ribosomal RNA". It matches the Rfam family "Bacterial small subunit ribosomal RNA", at positions 524 to 776 of the family's 1533-position model. The record is from RNAcentral.
GACGAACCGAGCGAACGUUGUUCGGAAUCACUGGGCUUAAAGGGCGCGUAGGCGGGUGGAUAAGUCCGUGGUGAAAUCCGGCAGCUUAACUGUCGAAUUGCCCUGGGUACUGUCCAUCUCGAGGGAGGUAGGGGUGCGCGGAACUAAUGGUGGAGCGGUGAAAUGCGUUGAUAUCAUUAGGAACUCCGGUGGCGAAGGCGGCGCACUGGACCUCUUCUGACGCUGAGGCGCGAAAGCCAGGGGAGCAAACGGG